GCUUCAAAGACACAGGAUAACGUGGAUCCGGCAGAAAGGAGACCUCUGCGGAAGAUCUGGAGUACCCACAAUGUUCCAGGCACUGGAAUGGGCUCUGUGGAUAAAGCAGUGAAGGAUUCAAGAACCAUCCAUGCCCCCCAGCUUGCAUUCUAUUAGGGUUGAAGACCAUUCGCAUCAGUGUGAUAAUCGCAGUGAUGAAGGUCUGCUGGGGGAAAAAAUGAGGAAGGAACCAGAAGAAAGGUCUAGGGAAACCAAAGAACCACAGGAUAUGAUGGAUGUGCUGGGCGGCUUCUGCUAUGGAACUGCGGCUACCUUUAUCUGGUAUCACGUAUCUCCUUGACUUGGACAGAAGAUAACCCAGACUCACAACGUGGACAUUCUCCAACACACUUUUCCUAAAUUAGACCGGAG
Molecule: long non-coding RNA, 411 nt
Organism: Camelus dromedarius (Arabian camel)
Lineage: Eukaryota; Metazoa; Chordata; Mammalia; Artiodactyla; Camelidae
Exons: 3
Source: RefSeq, a predicted model, not a curated record